AAGCUAUAUGGAUUUGGAUCAUCCACCAGGUCCAAGAAAUUGCCAUCGGCAAAUACGAAAAAACACAGCUAACUGCAAUGUUUUAGAGAGGUAUAUCACUAUCAUUUGGUAGCUACAGAUCCAAGCAAUCAUAUAUAUCAAAAUUCAAGAUAUCCAUGUGGACAAAAAAAUUGUUUUUGGUGCUCUCCCUCUUCCAUCUCCUCUGUUGAGCUUCACAUGCAGCAGCAUCGGCCAUGUGUUUGCUUUUCUGUCGUCUAUACUCUCCUCUCUGAUGUAUGGAUGUAUACGUCUGGAAAUAUAUAAUCCGAUGAUGGUCAUGGGAGGCUUGCUUCAGCUUCAGCCUAGGAAGUCCAGAAACCAAGGCACGCACUGGCACUAUUCCUCCUCAAGAUGUCAUCUAAGUAUAAAUAUCAUCCACCAAAGUAUUUAUCCAUGUGCAGAAUCAACUCAGAAACAGGCAGAAUUAAACACCACAACCCAAUGUGCAAAAUCAACUUAGUUAAAUCAAUGACCAAAGGAAAAUAUGUAAUCCCCGACACAACACCUGUAGUUCCAAACAAACAAGCAUAAUUAAACACCACACAACCCAAAAUCUCAGCCAUCACAUGUGAGAUGCUUACAUCGAUCUGCUUCUGCAGAUAACGCGAUAACUUCUUGGGCUGUCGUGGUGGAUGCGUGUAGCCAAUGGCGAGAAACUCCUCAACGGUGGGACGAAGAAGUCCCUCUUCCCCCAACGGCAGUGCAGGCAAGCGUUUGCCCAACGCCAUCUGAUCUCAAUGCGGGAGGAGCCACAAUGGCGGUGUGGCGGUGUGGUCCUCUAGGGCCGCCGUAGCCGUGCAAGUUUGUGGGCUUCUCCUUCUUCGACGACGGGGAGGAGGCUUCCACUAAGGCGGGGAUGCGGCGGUCAGAGGCGGCGCCCAUGAGGGCCAUGUAGGAGGUUCAAGAGGAUAAGAGAAGGGAAUGGGGAAGAGAUGGACGAGGGACGGGGCGGAUGGGACAGGGGCAGGACUUCCCUGCGUGACCGGAUGGGGAGAUCGUGGGUGUGUGCUAGGGGAUCGAGGCGGUUGGGCGAAGACAUGGCGUGGGACGCGGCCGCUUUUCUUUUUCAGUUUCCGACGGAGGAAGUGCU
Molecule: long non-coding RNA, 1129 nt
Filed under: Triticum aestivum (bread wheat)
Lineage: Eukaryota; Viridiplantae; Streptophyta; Magnoliopsida; Poales; Poaceae
Description: long non-coding RNA (TAES_LNC022664)
Source: RNAcentral